This 497-nucleotide ribosomal RNA is filed under the name uncultured bacterium. RNAcentral describes it as "partial 16S ribosomal RNA". It matches the Rfam family "Bacterial small subunit ribosomal RNA", at positions 28 to 507 of the family's 1533-position model. The record is from RNAcentral.
GAUGAACGCUGGCGGCGUGCCUAAUACAUGCAAGUCGAGCGAACAGACGAGGAGCUUACUCCCCUGACGUUAGCGGCGGACGGGUGAGUAACACGUGGAUAACCUACCUAUAAGACUGGGAUAACUUCGGGAAACCGGAGCUAAUACCGGAUAACAUGUUGAACCGCAUGGUUCAACAGUGAAAGACGGUCUUGCUGUCACUUAUAGAUGGAUCCGCGUCGCAUUAGCUAGUUGGUAAGGUAACGGCUUACCAAGGCAACGAUGCGUAGCCGACCUGAGAGGGUGAUCGGCUACACUGGAACUGAGACACGGUCCAGACUCCUACGGGAGGCAGCAGUAGGGAAUCUUCCGCAAUGGGCGAAAGCCUGACGGAGCAACGCCGCGUGAGUGAAGAAGGUCUUCGGAUCGUAAAACUCUGUUAUUAGGGAAGAACAAAUGUGUAAGUAACUAUGCACGUCUUGACGGUACCUAAUCAGAAAGCCACGGCUAACUACGUG